AGAAAAACAUGGACGGAAGGCAGAGGAGCAUAAAUCUUGCGAGUUGCUUUUCCGAGACGGGCCAGAACCAGCCCUUAAAGGAAGACCCUGUGCGCUGCUGGCGGCUGUAGUCUUCUCAUUUCGAUUUCAACAAGUAGCCCCAGCCAGAGAAGCCUUAGAAGAUCAAGCCUCACAUCUCCUGGUCGUGGAAUUCCUUUCCGCGGGCCCCACUGCAGGCUCAGGCCUCCGUGUAACCCGAGCCGCCCCCACCUCCCAGCAGACAGCACAUUAAAGGGAGGUCUGCGGGCCAGCUGCAGAGACAGGUGUUGCACUCCCUCCCUUUACACCCGCCCCCAUUUAUUUGUCCUAAGAAUUCCUCUCCGGGGGCUGUGGAGCCCCGCCGAUGGGGUCGGGCUGACUUUCUAGUUGCGGGGUGCGGGAUGCCCGCGCUGCACCUGCUCGGUGGCUUAGCUCGCUGAGCCGGGCUUGCAGAGGCAGCGCGAUCCGUCCCCCCCGUUAAGGAGCCAGGGGGCCGCGGGGCCGCUCCCGGUCCACCCCACGACGUGUUUACCGACUCGGAUUCCAGCCCUGCUCUUUGCCGAGGGCUGACUCAUGCUGCUUUCUGAGAAACUGGAGAAGUGGAGAAAAUGCGGUGAUUAUUGUCCUUUUCUCGCCCGUGUUGCAGGGCCGUGAAAACCAGGCCCGGUGGAGUCCUAUCAAAUUUAAGGCCGGUAAGGGCAAAUCCAGAUCAAUUUUUAGGACGCGAUUAUCUAAAUGAGAAGGGUCGGAUAUCGCAGGCCUUGCUGCAGGCUCUGCUGUUGCUUCGACCCUACCUUUGGAGGGGGUCGGGAUUUUCCCCGGAGAGUGAGCUUAUAGGCUGAGGGAGGUGCCAACCUGUGGCCUGUCUGGCCUGGAUCACCAUGAUCCAUCAUGAGGUCUCCUCGUCGUCGUGGCAACUGAGGAAGCUGGAGGUGCUUAUUUAUCCUCCUAAUCUGAAGUUUAGCUGUGAAAAUCCCUCUUCGAGGGGCAUCAGUUGUUGUUGUUGUUGUUGUUGUUGUUGUUGUUGUUGUUGUUUUUCCACAAGCCACACCCAUGUUCAAACCCUCCUGGGUCUGCUCACCUGGGCUUGGGUAAUCUGGUUCUUCCUUCUCUCCUUUGCAGGAUUUGAGGUGAUGAGGAAUGUUUUCCAUAAUUAGACCAAAGGCUGUUGAUCAAUACAAAUCAGUAUUGGCCAUGGUUAACGGAAGACAGCUACGUUUGUCACUUAGGUAACGUGUAAUAAGUAGAUCCUACCCAUGGGUGAAACCAUAAGAUAAUGAGAGGACUGUGACUUACGAUACUUCCUUCCUGGUACUCAGAAUUGUCUCUUUCAAGAUGUUUGGAUGGGACACGGGCCACAUGGGAGAGAGUAUCCUGUUACUGUCUUCCCAGACUCCUGGAAGCUGGUCUUUAAAAUGGUGCGUUCUUCAUUUAAACCCUGGCAGCAUGCUUGGACCCUGCCUUGCUUUCUUCUUGCAGGAAAUCAGAUAACCCAGGAUGGUAGCAAGACUUCGGAAGUGGCCUUCCACCACCCUGUCACUUGUGGCCUUUUGAAAACACUGUGUUUCUCCCAUGCUUGGAAAACCCAUGCAGCCGCAGAAGGCCCAGCAUUCCAACCAUACACACUGCCAGACACACUCAGUGCACAUGGAGUUCUUGUAGGCCUUGAUGGCUACACUGUGACAUUUCUUCUGUCCCUGCUGUUUCCUGCUGCCCUCCUUUCUCCCUUUUCACUGGGUUAAUUCCUAUUUUCCUUGUAGCCCUACAUCAAACCCCCCAACCUUUCCUAAGCAGUGCUAGACACUUCCUUCUCACUUGGUCUCUUUCCCACACAUCAUUUUGUCAUCAUGUGCCAUGUGAUUUUUUUGCUCUGAUCUUUGUUUGCUUUGGAUCAUUUGUUUUAUGUGUCUCACUAGACCAUGCAUUCUUUGAGGAUCAGGAGGGUGUCCUAUUUAUUCACCUUUGUGAAGGUAAGUCAUUCUUCACACCCCCCACCUCCCACCCCCGCCUAUCUUCCAUGCUGCCACCUGGCAGUCCCAGAUGCAUGUAGGCACUCAGUUAGUCUUGGUUACAUUGACGAGUGAAGACAUGAGUGCAUAAAGCCAGACUUAUGAUUGAUCUUAAAAGGUUUGGGAGGACCAAGGCGGUUUCUAUAUCUGUGAAGGGGACAGUGAAUGCGGAGCAUGGAGAAGAGGAGGCUCCUAACUCCAGCUGCCCAUCUUCUGGGACUUUGCACUAACCGACUAAAAUGGACUAGUGUCACCCUUUACCCAUCGUCUUCCUUUCCAUCUAUUUACUGCUACUGAGUUCAGGAAGGGCUCACGAUAAGUGCGACAAUGUAGGAUGUUCAUAGCAUGUCAUCUUACCUCCCCUAAAAAUUGCUGACUAUGGUCCAUUUUAUCUAGUAGUUCACAUUUAUAAGUAAAAGAUUUACCUUUGCUUCUAAAUAAAAUGCAGAUUAAUAUAUUGGUGCACCAGAGACACAUAUCAAGGAGCAUGGUGCUUUUCUUCUUGGGCAGAAAGUAGUUAUUUUUGAUCCCAUGGUGUUCUUGUGCUGGUCUGUUUUAUCUUUCUUCUCCCUCUGCUCAUCUCACAGAGCUAUAGGCAAACUGUUCCAGCAACUUUCAGGAAUAUUCAGAACAGUCAUAUAGAAAGGGGUGCUGUGAAAUCCCAGUUUUACAGGGGAAGAAAGAGAAGCUCAGAGGUCAGUAACUUACCCGAAGGGCACAAAGCAGGCCAAGUGACAAAGCUGGAUUUCAAGCCCAUUCAGCCUGGGUCCAGAGUCCCUGCUGUCAACUGCUGUGAUAAGCUAUCUCUUACUCAGAAGUGGACUCCACACUCUAUGGAGGACAAAUUAUUUAUAAGGAGGGAAACCGAGCAGAUAAUUUACUGGAUCCCUUGGUAAUGCUCCAUAAAAGGAUAAAAAGGAGAGAAAAUUAAUAAUUUCACUUGUAGUUCCAGACCCUGGUAAACUUGUUCAUGUUCAUACGCUCUGUAGCUCAAACUGAAUAAUUGAGUACUUUCUGAAGUAAGUAACCAGUUCUAUAACUUGGAAAAAAAUCUCUGACUCCACUUAACUCAUGCAGAGGGCCAUGGCAUGAGGCCUAAAUGCCCAGGAGUUUAAGUCAAGAUACACUUACAUAGUAAAACUAUUCUUUUGUUGUUUUACUCUUUUCCUUCCUGCUUGGAGAACUUUUAAAGUUUAAAGCUAUCUACAAAUUGUCAUUUUGUCCCUAGAAAGCCGAGGUCAUAGAGAUACACGUCAGCUGUCAGAAGAGCCGCAAAGGAAGGUGAUAUUCCUUUGUAAUGGUUUCUGAGAAGAGAGGCCAUCAGAGUGAAAUCCAGUAAUCCUGCAUUUCUGAUUUCAUGUCUACUGAGAAUGCUCAGACUUGAGUGCAGACCUUGGUAGAGUACUGAUUGCUGAAAGUGGCAAUGAAGAACAGCUGGCCACCAUCCUCUGUGAUAAUAACCUUCAUAUAGUGGAAACUUGAAUGGCUUUGGACAUGGAAAAAACAACAUUGAUUUUAGAGGCUUUUGUUAUGGAGGCCAGGGGGAUUUUCCCACUGCCGCAAAGAGGAAGCUGGGCUUGGAUGGGGAAGCCAGACAUUUCUUGGCCUGAGUUUCUCACUUGAAUGGGAUUCCAGUUUGCCCCCUCCUCACCUCGCCAACCCCCAAGCAGCUCGAGGCCCCACCUCCUCCCUUGGACCAUAUGGGGAAGCUGGCUCAGUGGCUGUUAUUCUACGGACUCCAAGUUCACGCAGCUGUUCAUUCCCUGCUUAAUGCACCGAUUCCACAUAUGAAUGAUACCAUGCAGUAUUUGUCUUUCUCUGUCUGGCUUAUUUCACCUAACAUAAUGUCCUCCUGCUUCUUCCUUCGGAUUUGUAGUCUUCCGAGAAGAUCCGAACAAUCAACAAAUUAACCAAGUAAACAUAAAAUAUCAGUUGGUGAUAAGUUCUAUUGAGAGAAACCCAAAAGGAACUCUAGAACAUGUUCCCCAGGAACAACCCAGCUUAUGAUGACAAAUAACCUACAAAUAAAUGAACGUCUGAAAAGAAGGGAUUGAAAAAGCAAGUCGUGGCAUAUUCAAUCAGGGAAUAUUAUGCAACAAUGAAAAUGAAUGUGAUAACUCAAUGUAACAUCGUAGGUGGAUCUUAGCAAUGUCAAUAUCAGUGACAAUAAGUUCAUAGAUAUUAAAAACAUCUGAUGCAUUUUUCACGAAGUCAAACACAUACAACCAAACCAUAUACUUUUAAGGUGAAACACAUAGAUGUGUUUAAUAAUAUAAAAUAACUUUUUUAAAGCUGUUAAUAUAAGAUUUGGUAUUGUAAUUAUUUUGGAUGAAGGGAGAGCUUUCAUGUUGGAUGUUGGACUCAUUCAUUUAAUUGUGUUAUUUUGAAGGAAAAAAAUGAAGGAAGAAAGGAAAGAAAGAAAGAAAGAAAGAAAGAAAGAAAGAAAGAAGGGAGGGAGGGAGGCCUUCUCAUGAAUUAAUAUUGAGUGUAUGUCAUGAACCCAGGAUUAUGAUUAAUCUGAUUUUAUGCUCCUGAGGUAAGGGUUGGGGAGAGUUAUGGGGUAGUUGUUUGUAGUUUGUUUACUUGUUUUUUUUAUAGGGUUGUUAAGGAAGUUCUCUGUAAGGAAAUGACAUUUGAGCAGAGACAUUAAUGGAGAGAAGCCCAAAGAACAAGGGUAGUGCUGUAGCAGGGGGAAGGGGGAGUAAGAGAGAGGACCAGCAGCAGGAGGUGAGUCAGGGAGGUAGCAGAAGCAGGUCAUCUUGGGCAUUAUAGGCCAUGAAAAGCACUUUUACAUUUACUCCAAAGGAAACUGGAAGCCACUGAAAGGUUCUGAGUAGGAGUAACAUUAUAUAUUGCAUGUUUUGAAAGGAGCAAUAUAUAAUGCAGAAGUUGUAGUAGUUGUCCUGCUGUAGUGUGGGAAUGGGUAUACCAGCAUUUUUCUGGCAUAGUUGACAUUUUGGGCUAGAUAAUUCUUUGCUGUAGAGGGUUUGCAUGGUAGGAUAUCUAGCAGCACUCAUGGCUUCUUAUAGAGCUAUAGCAACCCCAACCCACUUGUAACAACCAGAAACAUCUGUAGACAUUGUCAAGUGUCUCCUUGGGGCAAAUUCAUUUCUGGUUGUGAAUCAAUGGAGGGCACCAAAGUUGGAAAAAUAUAGAAGCAGAGAGAGGAAGUAGGAAAAUCUAGCUAUAUCCACUGGAGACCAGAGCUGUGACUAGGAUAGCAGUGCUUGUUGUCCGUCCCCCUUUUCUUUUUCUAUAUUUUUUUACUUUUUUAUAAUUCUCAUUUUUUACAUUUUUAUAAUUCUCAUAAAUUUUAUUCAUCUUCAAUGAGGUAUAAAUUACAAAUAAAACUGUAAGAU
Molecule: long non-coding RNA, 5386 nt
Organism: Nyctereutes procyonoides (raccoon dog)
Lineage: Eukaryota; Metazoa; Chordata; Mammalia; Carnivora; Canidae
Exons: 5
Source: RefSeq, a predicted model, not a curated record